This is a long non-coding RNA of Drosophila montana, 912 nucleotides long. RefSeq lists it as uncharacterized. The transcript is spliced from 4 exons. Lineage: Eukaryota; Metazoa; Arthropoda; Insecta; Diptera; Drosophilidae. The record is from RefSeq and is a predicted model, not a curated record.
AUUGAAACGUUCAACAAUGCCGAGAUCAAUAUUGUACUCUAUUUCUUGUGCUUCAAAUCCUACAACAUUGUCUACAUGGACUGGAUUACAGUGCUUAGCGCAGUCAACUAUUUUGGGUUUAUAUACAUGAUCAUCUGGUCGGUCAUGUAUAAUAGCUAUCGUUCAUAGCUCCGCUUCCCGCCCGAGGAUCGGCCAGCAGGGCCAACAACUAUAAAACAAGCCACAGUUUGAAGCAGCGGAUAAACAAUUAAAAAAUCUUUCGGAAUAUUUUAAAGAAUUUGAUUUGUGUCCUUUAACAUUGACAAAAAGCUGCUAUCAAAAUGCGCUACCGAUUAAUAAUACUAUUUAACUUCAUAUCGAAUGAAAACGUGCUAGCAGCUGUGUGGAUAUAGAGAACGUUUGCGCAUUACGAAGCCCAAGUGCCUGUAGAGCGAAAGGACAGAUAUCUUUAACUUAGACUGGAAUAGCCCCACAUCACGUUGCUCGCUGUAAUACAAGGUGAUUUUGGGACAACAGAUUUACUAAUUUAAUGUCGGAUAUUUUGAAGCAACUUUAUCUGAUCGCAUUUGUUGCACAUCUUUCAAUGAUCUCCGUGUAAUAACGUGAUCACAAUUCUAUUGUGCAGUCUGAAGCAGGCAGUUUGCUUUAUCUCUCCCGCCUGCCAUAACCAUCUUCCGGCGGGCUGUGAACUACGUUGGGCAUCCUGUGUGGACGACUCUGCUGCUGCCAUGCCUUCCAGAUUGCUGGUAUUCACAGCAAGAUUGACAAAUAAAGGACUACAAUGAAUUCUAAGGACCUCCACGAGGGACAAAGCUAAUUUUUCCAGGAUUUUAAGUUCAAAAAAGCUAGAAUUUUAAUGUAUGCUCGUUUUGUACACUUUUAAGACAAAUAAUUAAGAAAAUUAGCAUAAAA